GACCAAGGAGUCUAACAUGUGCGCGAGUCACUGGUACAAGAGAAGAACCAGAGGCGAAGUGAAAGCGGGGCGGGGUGACUCGUCACCCCGCUCUGGGAGGAUGGCGUCCUACUCGUAGGCGCCCGCACUCCCGGGGCGCCUCGGGAUUUAUUCCGCAGGCGCACCCGGAGCGUACACGUUGGGACCCGAAAGAUGGUGAACUAUGCCUGGUCAGGACGAAGUCAGGGGAAACCCUGAUGGAGGUCCGCAGCGAUUCUGACGUGCAAAUCGAUCGUCAGAGCUGGGUAUAGGGGCGAAAGACUAAUCGAACCAUCUAGUAGCUGGUUCCCUCCGAAGUUUCCCUCAGGAUAGCUGGCGUCCGUUUGGAUUUGUGUCUAACGAGUCUCAUCCGGUAAAGCGAAUGAUUAGAGGCCUUGGGGCCGAAACGACCUCAACCUAUUCUCAAACUUUAAAUGGGUGAGAUCUCCGGCUUGCUUGACUGAAGCCGCGAGGUCUGGAUCAGGGUGCCAAGUGGGCCAUUUUU
Molecule: ribosomal RNA, 523 nt
Filed under: Celatoblatta sp. W23
Lineage: Eukaryota; Metazoa; Arthropoda; Insecta; Blattodea; Blattidae
Description: partial large subunit ribosomal RNA
Rfam family: Eukaryotic large subunit ribosomal RNA
Source: RNAcentral